GACGAACGCUGGCGGCGUGCUUAACACAUGCAAGUCGAACGGAAAGGCCCUGCUUUUGUGGGGUGCUCGAGUGGCGAACGGGUGAGUAACACGUGAGUAACCUGCACUUGACUUUGGGAUAACUUCAUGAAACUGGGGCUAAUACCGGAUAGGAGCUCCUGCUGCAUGGUGGGGGUUGGAAAGUUUCGGCGGUUGGGGAUGGACUCGCGGCUUAUCAGCUUGUUGGUGGGGUAGUGGCUUACCAAGGCUUUGACGGGUAGCCGGCCUGAGAGGGUGACCGGACACACUGGGACUGAGAUAAGGCCCAGACUCGUACGGGAGGCAGCAGUGGGGAAUAUUGCACAAUGGGCGGAAGGCUGAUGUAGCAACGCCGCGUGCGGGAUGACGUCAUGCGGGUUGUGAACCGAUGUCGCCUGUGACGAAGCGUGAGUGACGGUAAUGGGUAAAGAAGCACCGGCUAACUACGUG
This 468-nucleotide ribosomal RNA is filed under the name uncultured bacterium. Its description in RNAcentral is "partial 16S ribosomal RNA". It matches the Rfam family "Bacterial small subunit ribosomal RNA", at positions 28 to 507 of the family's 1533-position model. The record is from RNAcentral.